Trichonephila inaurata madagascariensis is the source of this 70-nucleotide non-coding RNA. Lineage: Eukaryota; Metazoa; Arthropoda; Arachnida; Araneae; Nephilidae. The record is from the annotation of a GenBank genome assembly.
GCCGCUAUAAACUCAGUGGCUAGAGCGUUGGUCUCUAAACAAAGGGGCAAUUCGAAUCUUGUUGGCGGCA